Molecule: ribosomal RNA, 1661 nt
Filed under: Pseudoalteromonas luteoviolacea
Lineage: Bacteria; Pseudomonadati; Pseudomonadota; Gammaproteobacteria; Alteromonadales; Pseudoalteromonadaceae
Description: partial 23S ribosomal RNA
Rfam family: Bacterial large subunit ribosomal RNA
Source: RNAcentral
UAUCAGAAGUGCGAAUGCUGACAUGAGUAACGAUAAUGCGGGUGAAAAACCCGCACGCCGGAAGACCAAGGGUUCCUAUCCCAUGUUAAUCAGGGUAGGGUGAGUCGACCCCUAAGGCGAGGCUGAAGAGCGUAGUCGAUGGGAAACGGGUUAAUAUUCCCGUACUUGGUAUAAAUGCGAUGGGGGGACGGAGCAGGCUAGGCAAGCAUGGCGUUGGUUGUCCAUGUGAAAGGCUGUAGGCUGGUGACUUAGGAAAAUCCGGGUCGCUAAGGCUGAGAGUCGAGACGAGCUACUACGGUAGUGAAGUUGUUGAUGCCCUACUUCCAGGAAAAGCCUCUAAGCUUCAGUUUAUAUCGAAUCGUACCCUAAACCGACACAGGUGGUCAGGUAGAGAAUACUAAGGCGCUUGAGAGAACUCGGGUGAAGGAACUAGGCAAAAUUGUACCGUAACUUCGGGAGAAGGUACGCUCUUGUUUGUGAAGGACUUGCUCCAUAAGCAGACGAGAGCCGCAGUGACCAGGUGGCUGGGACUGUUUAUUAAAAACACAGCACUGUGCAAAAUCGUAAGAUGACGUAUACGGUGUGACACCUGCCCGGUGCCGGAAGGUUAAUUGAUGGGGUUAGCUUAGGCGAAGCUCUUGAUCGAAGCCCCGGUAAACGGCGGCCGUAACUAUAACGGUCCUAAGGUAGCGAAAUUCCUUGUCGGGUAAGUUCCGACCUGCACGAAUGGUGUAACCAUGGCCACGCUGUCUCCACCCGAGACUCAGUGAAAUUGAAAUCGCAGUGAAGAUGCUGUGUACCCGCGGCUAGACGGAAAGACCCCGUGAACCUUUACUACAGCUUGGCACUGAACAUUGACCCUACAUGUGUAGGAUAGGUGGGAGGCUUUGAAGCACAGUCGCUAGAUUGUGUGGAGCCGUCCUUGAAAUACCACCCUUGUAGUGUUGAUGUUCUAACUUAGGUCCCUGAUCGGGAUUGAGGACAGUGCCUGGUGGGUAGUUUGACUGGGGCGGUCUCCUCCCAAAGAGUAACGGAGGAGCACGAAGGUUGGCUAAGUACGGUCGGACAUCGUACGGUUAGUGUAAUGGUAGAAGCCAGCUUAACUGCGAGACAGACACGUCGAGCAGGUACGAAAGUAGGUCAUAGUGAUCCGGUGGUUCUGAAUGGAAGGGCCAUCGCUCAACGGAUAAAAGGUACUCCGGGGAUAACAGGCUGAUACCGCCCAAGAGUUCAUAUCGACGGCGGUGUUUGGCACCUCGAUGUCGGCUCAUCACAUCCUGGGGCUGAAGUCGGUCCCAAGGGUAUGGCUGUUCGCCAUUUAAAGUGGUACGCGAGCUGGGUUUAGAACGUCGUGAGACAGUUCGGUCCCUAUCUGCCGUGGGCGUUUGAGAAUUGAGAGGGGCUGCUCCUAGUACGAGAGGACCGGAGUGGACGAACCGCUGGUGUUCGGGUUGUUAUGCCAAUAGCAUUGCCCGGUAGCUACGUUCGGAAUCGAUAACCGCUGAAAGCAUCUAAGCGGGAAGCGAGCCUCGAGAUGAGUUCUCACUUUAACUUUAAGUUAACUGAAGGGCCGUUGAAGACUACAACGUUGAUAGGCGAGAUGUGGAAGUGCUGUGAGGCAUUGAGCUAACUCGUACUAAUUACCCGUGAGGCUUAACCAU